GCCUGGGGGGCUCAGUCGGUUGGGCGUCUGACUUUGGCUCAGGUCAUGAUCUCGCGGUCUGUGGGUUCGAGCCCCACGUCGGGCU
Molecule: transfer RNA, 85 nt
Filed under: Felis catus (domestic cat)
Lineage: Eukaryota; Metazoa; Chordata; Mammalia; Carnivora; Felidae
Rfam family: tRNA
About the family: Transfer RNA (tRNA) molecules are approximately 80 nucleotides in length. Their secondary structure includes four short double-helical elements and three loops (D, anti-codon, and T loops). Further hydrogen bonds mediate the characteristic L-shaped molecular structure. tRNAs have two regions of fundamental functional importance: the anti-codon, which is responsible for specific mRNA codon recognition, and the 3' end, to which the tRNAs corresponding amino acid is attached (by aminoacyl-tRNA synthetases). tRNAs cope with the degeneracy of the genetic code in two manners: having more than one tRNA (with a specific anti-codon) for a particular amino acid; and 'wobble' base-pairing, i.e. permitting non-standard base-pairing at the 3rd anti-codon position.
Source: Rfam by way of RNAcentral